RNAcentral lists this ribosomal RNA (681 nucleotides) under uncultured organism. RNAcentral describes it as "bacterial SSU rRNA". It matches the Rfam family "Bacterial small subunit ribosomal RNA", at positions 64 to 761 of the family's 1533-position model. The record is from RNAcentral.
GAGCGAUGAGGCCCUCUUCGGGGGGUACAUCAGCGGCAGACGGGUGAGUAGCACGUAGGUGAUCUACCCCAGAGACUGGGGAUAACGGACGGAAACGUCCGCUAAUACCGGAUGACCUUGUCAGGUCAAAGCGACAAGGAAAGGCUCCGGCGCUCUGGGAGGAGCCUGCGGGCCAUCAGCUAGUUGUGCGGGGUAAAGGCCCAGCAAGGCGAAGACGGCUAAGGGGUGUGAGAGCAUGGCCCCCCACAAUGGGACUGAAACACGGGCCAUACUCCUACGGGAGGCAGCAGCAGGGAAUAUUGCACAAUGGACUGGAAGUCUGAUGCAGCGACGCCGCGUGGAUGAUGAAGGCCCUCGGGUUGUACAAUCCUUUACAAGGGACGAGGAAGGACGGUACCCUUGGAACAAGUGUCGGCUAACUACGUGCCAGCAGCCGCGGUACGACGUAGGACACAAGCGUGAUCCGGAUUUACUGGGCGUAAAGCGUCUGCAGGCGGACAGGUAAGUUGGGCGUGAAAGCUCCGGGCCCAACCCGGACAGGUCGUUCAAUACUGCGUGUCUAGAGGGUGUCACAGGGGAGUGGAAUUUCCGGAGUAAGCGGUAAAAUGCGCAGAGAUCGGAAAGAACACCAAUGGCGAAGGCAGGUCCCUGGGUGCUACCUGACGCUAAGAGACGAAAGCU